Molecule: unclassified non-coding RNA, 285 nt
Filed under: plant metagenome
Description: partial contains small subunit ribosomal RNA, internal transcribed spacer 1, and 5.8S ribosomal RNA
Rfam family: Eukaryotic small subunit ribosomal RNA (bases 1-54)
Source: RNAcentral
GGAAGUAAAAGUCAUAACAAGGUUUCCGUAGGUGAACCUGCGGAAGGAUCAUUAUUGUAUAACCGAGGUGCGAGGGCUGUCGCUGACCCGAAAGGUCGUGCACGCCCGAGUGCCCUCACACACAUCCAUCUCACCCCUAUAUGCACCACCGCGUGGGUCCCCCUUUGGCUUGUUCGGAGGGGGGCUUACGUUUUCACACAAACUUUGUAUGCAGUGUAGAAUGUAUUUUUUGUUUUUGCGAUCACGCAAUCAAUACAACUUUCAACAACGGAUCUCUUGGCUCUC